Molecule: unclassified non-coding RNA, 316 nt
Filed under: fungal sp.
Lineage: Eukaryota; Fungi
Description: partial internal transcribed spacer region
Rfam family: Eukaryotic small subunit ribosomal RNA (bases 1-46)
Source: RNAcentral
AAGUCGUAACAAGGUUUCCGUAGGUGAACCUGCGGAAGGAUCAUUAACUAACUGGGCGCCGCAAGGCGUGCUUAAGGGACCGCAAGGUCCCACUAGGAACCGCAAGGUUCCUUUAUCAUUGUGAACCAGGGUGGUUAAUAUGUCAGGCAAGCAGUUAAAUUGUAUGUUGCUGUGGCUGUUGUCGUUGUCUUACAUCACACUUCAGCUGCUACCUGAUCUUAGCUUACCUACCCCUCUUUAAUAGUAUUCAUGUUUAUGUCUAUGUGUGUCUCAAUAUAUUAUCAGUACACUUUCAACAGUGGAUCUCUCGGCUCUU